CUUCCUCCAUCUGGAUGCAUAGGGUGCCUAAGAAGAUGCAUCGUAAUCUAGACAUGUAUGUAUUGGACUAUAAAAUAUUAAUCAACAUAUGUUUGUAUGCAUAUUUAUUGAAAUUUUUGGGUCGUCGCACUUAGGAAGCCAACCAUCAUACCAGGCCAUUCACAUGGAGAUGUGCUAAUUAAGUGCAGCCAUUUGGAUGCCACUAGCGAUUGGCCGCAAGUGCCUCGUUCUUGCCCAUAAAAUUAAU
Molecule: long non-coding RNA, 247 nt
Filed under: Hordeum vulgare
Lineage: Eukaryota; Viridiplantae; Streptophyta; Magnoliopsida; Poales; Poaceae
Description: long non-coding RNA (HVUL_LNC010339)
Source: RNAcentral